UUUUUUUUUUUUUUUUUUUUUUUUUUUUUUUUUUUUUUUUUUCCU
Molecule: non-coding RNA, 45 nt
Filed under: Alexandrium minutum
Lineage: Eukaryota; Dinophyceae; Gonyaulacales; Pyrocystaceae
Source: RNAcentral